UACAGAGGGGGCCAGCGUUAUUCGGAAUUAUUGGGCGUAAAGAGCUCGUAGGCGGUUUGUUGCGUCGGCCGUGAAAACCUGCAGCUUAACUGUGGGCCUGCGGCCGAUACGGGCAGACUUGAGUUCGGUAGGGGAGACUGGAAUUCCUGGUGUAGCGGUGAAAUGCGCAGAUAUCAGGAGGAACACCGGUGGCGAAGGCGGGUCUCUGGGCCGAUACUGACGCUGAGGAGCGAAAGCGUGGGGAGCGAACAGG
RNAcentral lists this ribosomal RNA (253 nucleotides) under uncultured bacterium. RNAcentral describes it as "partial 16S ribosomal RNA". It matches the Rfam family "Bacterial small subunit ribosomal RNA", at positions 524 to 776 of the family's 1533-position model. The record is from RNAcentral.